GAAUUAUACACCCUUCUAUCCGCCUGGAUAUUACGAGCAUUAGCUUGAAACCCAAAGGACUUGGCGGUACUUUAGAUCCCCCUAGAGGAGCCUGCUCUAUAACCGAUAACCCCCGUUAAACCUCACCCUCCCUUGUUUUUUCCGCCUAUAUACCACCGUCGUCAGCUCACCCUGUGAAGGUCUAAUAGUAAGCAAAAUUGGCACAGCCCAGAACGUCAGGUCGAGGUGUAGCGCAUGGGAGGGGAAGAAGUGGGCUACAUUCGCUAACUUAGCGAAUUACGGACGAUGAAUUGAAAACAUUCAUCCUUGAAGGAGGAUUUAGCAGUAAGUGGAAAAUAGAGUGUUCCACUGAAAUCGGCUCUGAAGUGCGUACACACCGCCC
RNAcentral lists this ribosomal RNA (382 nucleotides) under Scomber scombrus (Atlantic mackerel). Its description in RNAcentral is "partial 12S ribosomal RNA". It matches the Rfam family "Bacterial small subunit ribosomal RNA", at positions 848 to 1395 of the family's 1533-position model. The record is from RNAcentral. Lineage: Eukaryota; Metazoa; Chordata; Actinopteri; Scombriformes; Scombridae.